GUUGCGGUUAAAAAGCUCGUAGUUGGAUUUCUGUUGAGGAUGACCGGUCCGCUCUUUGAGCGCGUAUCUGGUUCAGCCUUGGCAUCCUCUUGGGGAACGCUACUGUGCUUGAUUGCAUGGGGCGGUAUUCAAGACUUUUACUUUGAGGAAAUUAGAGUGUUCACUGCAAGCGUUAGCAAUUGAAUACAUUAGCAUGGAAUAAUAAUAUAGGACCUUGGUACUAUUUUGUUGGUUUCUAGAACUAAGGUAAUGAUUAAUAGGGACAAUUGGGGGCAUUCGUAUUACGCGUCAGAGGUGGAAUUCUUAGAUUGCGUUACGACGAACUACUGCGAAAGCAUUUGCCAAGGAUGUUUUCAUUGAUCAAGAACGAAAGUAUGGGGAUCGAAGACGCUUAGAUACCGUCGUAGUCUAUACCAUAAGCUAUGCCAACUAGAGAUUGGAGGUCGUUCUCUUUAUGACUCCUUCAGCACCUUAUGAGAAAUCAAAGUCUUUGGGUUCCGGGGGGAGUAUGGUCGCAAGGCUGAAACUUAAAGGAAUUGACGGAAAGGGCACCACCAGGAGUGGAGCCUGCGGCUUAAUUUGACUCAACACGGGAAAACUUACCAGGUCCAGACAUAGUAAGGAUUGACAGAUUGAUAGCUCUUUCU
RNAcentral lists this ribosomal RNA (647 nucleotides) under uncultured marine eukaryote. Its description in RNAcentral is "SSU rRNA". It matches the Rfam family "Eukaryotic small subunit ribosomal RNA", at positions 612 to 1262 of the family's 1831-position model. The record is from RNAcentral.